AACGCUAGCUACAGGCUUAACACAUGCAAGUCGAGGGGCAGCAUGAACUUAGCUUGCUAAGUUUGAUGGCGACCGGCGCACGGGUGAGUAACGCGUAUCCAACCUUCCGUACACUCAGGGAUAGCCUUUCGAAAGAAAGAUUAAUACCUGAUGGUAUGAUGAGAUUGCAUGGUAACAUCAUUAAAGAUUCAUCGGUGUACGAUGGGGAUGCGUUCCAUUAGAUAGUAGGCGGGGUAACGGCCCACCUAGUCGACGAUGGAUAGGGGUUCUGAGAGGAAGGUCCCCCACAUUGGAACUGAGACACGGUCCAAACUCCUACGGGAGGCAGCAGUGAGGAAUAUUGGUCAAUGGGCGCGAGCCUGAACCAGCCAAGUAGCGUGAAGGAUGAAGGUCCUACGGAUUGUAAACUUCUUUUAUAAGGGAAUAAAGUCACCUACGUGUAGGUGUUUGUAUGUACCUUAUGAAUAAGCAUCGGCUAACUCCGUGCCAGCAGCCGCGGUAAUACGGAGGAUGCGAGCGUUAUCCGGAUUUAUUGGGUUUAAAGGGAGCGUAGACGGGUCGUUAAGUCAGCUGUGAAAGUUUGAGGCUCAACCUUAAAAUUGCAGUUGAUACUGGCGUCCUUGAGUACGGUUGAGGCAGGCGGAAUUCGUGGUGUAGCGGUGAAAUGCUUAGAUAUCACGAAGAACUCCGAUUG
RNAcentral lists this ribosomal RNA (694 nucleotides) under uncultured bacterium. RNAcentral's name for it is "bacterial SSU rRNA". It matches the Rfam family "Bacterial small subunit ribosomal RNA", at positions 32 to 715 of the family's 1533-position model. The record is from RNAcentral.